UACGUAGGAUCCGAGCGUUGUCCGGAUUUACUGGGUGUAAAGGGCGUGUAGGUGGGUCUCUAAGUCGGUGGUGAAAGCCCGCAGCUUAACUGCGGAAUUGCCAUUGAUACUGGAGGUCUUGAGUACGGCAGAGGGAAAUGGAAUUCAUGGUGUAGCGGUGAAAUGUGUAGAUAUCAUGAAGAACACCGGUAGCGAAGGCGGUUUCCUGGUCCGUAACUGACACUGAGGCGCGAAAGCGUGGGGAGCAAACAGG
Molecule: ribosomal RNA, 253 nt
Filed under: uncultured bacterium
Lineage: Bacteria
Description: partial 16S ribosomal RNA
Rfam family: Bacterial small subunit ribosomal RNA
Source: RNAcentral